GAGAAUAUAGUUCAAUGGCAGGGCGUGUGCUCAGCAUGCAUGAGGUCCUGGGUUCAAUCCCCAGUACCUCCA
Molecule: transfer RNA, 72 nt
Filed under: Camelus bactrianus (Bactrian camel)
Lineage: Eukaryota; Metazoa; Chordata; Mammalia; Artiodactyla; Camelidae
Also listed under: 2 other names
Rfam family: tRNA
About the family: Transfer RNA (tRNA) molecules are approximately 80 nucleotides in length. Their secondary structure includes four short double-helical elements and three loops (D, anti-codon, and T loops).
Source: Rfam by way of RNAcentral